UGCCCGCCCCAGGGCCACGCGCCUGUCCGGUGUGCACCCACGGGCUCCGACACUUGCCGCCCGGCAGCCUGCAGAGCGACCCUGACUGGCACUGCCCGGGGCUGGGGGUCGGCAAGGCCACGCUGGGCAGCAGGGAGUGGGCGGGUCAGCCCUGGGUUCCCUUCCCGCCCUCCCUGGUCACGGGCUUGGAGGCCCUUGUUCUCUUCCCGGAAGAAUCGUAGUGUCGGCAAAGGGCGGGCCCACCUGUGCCAGUGCGGCCAGGUGGUCAGACAGACAUGGGCCUCGUGCACUUCCUGGUGUCUGUGUGCUCUCUGUCAUGCCCACACGCCCCCCACGUGCACACACAGCAGCAGGUGCACUGAUGUGCCCUGGGGUCACCUUGAAUACGGGCUCAGCUGGCCUCGGUUCCCAGCACAGGAGUACGGGCGGGAGGAGCCACUGUCCACUGUUGGCACAAGCGGGAGCCCGUGCUUUGCCCUGCUCUCCCCACCAGUGACCUGACCGUGACAGGUGGCGGGGUCACUCCGAGCGGUCUGGGUGCUCAGCAGAGCUCCAGGCUGCCAGCCUGCUUGGUUGAGGCCGGCGGGGGUGGCGCCCACCACACGGCUCCCUGCAGGCUGCUCAGCGCUGGGCCCUGUGCUGUGUGUGUGUGGUCUUAGGUGUGAUGUGACCGUGUGCACACUCUGAGGGUGGAGCCGCAGUGCUGGGCCCUGUGCUGUGUGUGUGGUCUUAGGUGUGAUGUGACUGUGUGCACACUCUGAGGGCAGAGCCCCAGUGCUGGGCCCUGUGCUGUGUGUGUGGUCUUAGGUGUGAUGUGACCGUGUGCACACUCUGAGGGUGGAGCCGCAGUGCUGGGCCCUGUGCUGUGUGUGUGGUCUUAGGUGUGAUGUGACCGUGUGCACACUCUGAGGGUGGAGCCGCAGUGCUGGGCCCUGUGCUGUGUGUGGUGUUAGGUGUGAUGUGACCGUGUGCACACUCUGAGGGUGGAGCCGCAGUGCUGGGCCCUGUGCUGUGUGUGGUGUUAGGUGUGAUGUGACUGUGUGUGCACACUCUGAGGGCAGAGCCCCAGUGCUGGGCCCUGUGCUGUGUGUGUGGUGUUAGGUGUGAUGUGACCGUGUGCACACUCUGAGGGUGGAGCCGCAGUGCUGGGCCCUGUGCUGUGUGUGUGGUCUUAGGUGUGAUGUGACCGUGUGCACACUCUGAGGGUAGAGCCCCAGUGCUGGGCCCUGUGCUGUGUGUGUGGUCUUAGGUGUGAUGUGACCGUGUGCACACUCUGAGGGUAGAGCCGCAGUGCUGGGCCCUGUGCUGUGUGUGUGGUCUUAGGUGUGAUGUGACCGUGUGCACACUCUGAGGGUAGAGCCCCAGUGCUGGGCCCUGUGCUGUGUGUGUGGUCUUAGGUGUGAUGUGACCGUGUGCACACU
Oryctolagus cuniculus (rabbit) is the source of this 1421-nucleotide non-coding RNA. The record is from RefSeq and is a predicted model, not a curated record. Lineage: Eukaryota; Metazoa; Chordata; Mammalia; Lagomorpha; Leporidae.